UGGGGAAUUUUGCGCAAUGGGCGAAAGCCUGACGCAGCGACGCCGCGUGAGGGAUGAAGGUCCUAGGAUUGUAAACCUCUGUCAGGAAGCAUUAAAUGCACAGGUAUCAACACCACCCGUGCUUGACUUAACUUCCAGAGGAAGCCCCGGCUAACUACGUGCCAGCAGCCGCGGUAAUACGUAGGGGGCAAGCGUUACUCGGAUUUAUUUGGCGUAAAGAGAAUUAAGGCGGUCAUGUAAGUCAGUGGUGAAAUCCCCCGGCUCAACUGGGGAAUUGCCUUUGAUACUGCGUGACUUGAGGACAGGAGAGGAAGGCGGAAUUCCCGGUGUAGCGGUGGAAUGCGUAGAUAUCGGGAGGAACACCUGAAGCGAAGGCGGCUUUCUGGACUGGUCCUGACGCUGAUAUUCGAAAGCUAGGGGAGCAAACAG
This 429-nucleotide ribosomal RNA is filed under the name uncultured bacterium. RNAcentral describes it as "bacterial SSU rRNA". It matches the Rfam family "Bacterial small subunit ribosomal RNA", at positions 355 to 775 of the family's 1533-position model. The record is from RNAcentral.